Molecule: long non-coding RNA, 8416 nt
Filed under: Malus domestica (apple)
Lineage: Eukaryota; Viridiplantae; Streptophyta; Magnoliopsida; Rosales; Rosaceae
Description: long non-coding RNA (MDOM_LNC001160)
Source: RNAcentral
AAGAAACUAUCAAGGUUAUAUUUAGACAAGACUGCAAUUAAAGAACUGCCUUCGUCAAUUAAUAAACUCACAGGCCUCACUGUUUUGGACCUAUCUCGGUGUCGAGAACUCAAGAGCCUGCCGAGCAGCAUUCAUAUGGGAUCUCUUCAAACCCUUAAUCUUUCUGGUUGCUCAAACCUGGAGCAGUUUCCAGAUAUUUCAGGUGUUAUGGAGAAGCUAUCAGAGCUUUAUUUAAACGAGACUGCAAUUAAAGAACUGCCUUCGUCAAUUAAUAAACUCACAGGCCUCACUGUUUUGGACCUAUCUCGGUGUCGAGAACUCAAGAGCCUGCCGAGCAGCAUUCAUAUGGGAUCUCUUCAAACCCUUAAUCUUUCUGGUUGCUCAAACCUGGAGCAGUUUCCAGAUAUUUCGGGUGUUAUGGAGAAGCUAUCAGAGCUUUAUUUAGACGAGACUGCAAUUAAAGAACUGCCUUCGUCAAUUAAUAAACUCACGAGCCUUACUAUUUUGGUCCUAAGAGGCUGUCGAGAACUCAAGAGCAUGCCAAGCAGCAUUCAUAUGGGAUCUCUUCAAACCCUUAAUCUUUCUGGUUGCUCAAACCUGGAGCAGUUUCCAGAUAUUUCAGGUGUUAUGGAGAAGCUAUCAGAGCUUUAUUUAGACGAGACUGCAAUUAAAGAACUGCCUUCGUCAAUUAAUAAACUCACAGGCCUCACUGUUUUGGACCUAUCUCGGUGUCGAGAACUCAAGAGCCUGCCGAGCAGCAUUCAUAUGGGAUCUCUUCAAACCCUUAAACUUUUUGGUUGCUCAAACUUUGAGAAGUUUCCAGAUAUUUCAGAUGUUAUGGGGAAGCUAUCAAAGCUUUAUUUAGGUGGGACUGCCAUUAAAGAACUGCAUUCGUCAAUUAAUAAACUCACGGGCCUUACUGUUUUGAACCUAAGAGGCUGUCGAGAACUCAAGAGCCUGCCGAGCAGCAUUCAUGUAGGAUCUCUUCAAACCAUUAUUCUUUCGGGCUGCUCAAUGCUUGAGAAGUUUCCAGAUAUUUCAGAUGUUAUGGAGAAGCUAUCAGAGCUUCAUUUAGAUGGGACUGCUAUUAAAGAACUGCAUUCAUCAAUUAAUAAACUCACGGGCCUUACUAUUUUGAACCUAAGAGGCUGUCAAGAACUCAAGAGCCUGCAGAGCAGUAUUCAUAUCGGAUCUCUUCAAACCCUUAAUCUUUCUGGUUGCUCAAACCUUGAGAAGUUUCCAGAGAUUUCAGAUGCUAUGGAGAAUCUAUCAGAGUUAUAUUUAGAUGGGACUGCCAUUAAAGAACUGCCUUCAUCAAUUAAUAAACUCACGGGCCUUACUGAUUUGAACCUAUCUUGGUGUCAAGAACUCAAGAGCCUGCCGAGCAGCAUUCAUAUGGGAUCUCUUCAAACCCUUAUUCUUUCGGGUUGCUCAAUGCUUGAGAAGUUUCCAGAUAUUUCAGAUGUUAUGGAGAAUCUAUCAGAGUUAUAUUUAGAUGGGACUGCCAUUAAAGAACUGCCUUCGUCAAUUACUAAACUCACGGGCCUUACUGUUUUGAACCUAUCUGGGUGUCAAGAACUCAAGAGCCUGCCGAGUAGCAUUCAUAUGGGAUCUCUUCGAACCCUUAUUCUUUCGGGUUGCUCAAUGCUUGAGAAGUUUCCAGAUAUUUCAGAUGUUGUGGAGAAGCUAUCAAGGUUAUAUUUAGAUGGGACUGCCAUUCAAGAACUGCCUUCGUCAAUUAAUAAACUCACGGGCCUUACUGUUUUGGACCUAUCUGGGUGUCAAGAACUCAAGAGCCUGCCGAGCAGCAUUCAUAUGGGAUCUCUUCAAACCCUUAAUCUUUCUGGUUGCUCAAAACUUUGAGAAGUUUCCAGACAUUUCAGAUGUUAUGGAGAAGCUAUCAAAGUUAUAUUUAGAUGGGACUGCAAUUAAAGAACUGCCUUCUUCAAUUAGAAAUCUUCCAGGUCUUGUUACGUUGAACGUAAGAGAUUUUAGAAAACUCAAGUCUCCCAAGCAGCAUUUGUGAUCUCAAGGCCCUUCACUAUCUUAGUCUUUCUGGUUGCCCAAAGUUUGAGGUGUUGGAAUUAUUGGGUAUUGCUCAUUUAUCAUUAUUGAGUACAUUAGAACUCUGCAGAAACAAUUUUGAGAGCUUGCCUGCGGAAAUGAAUUGGCUUCAUUGGUUAACAAGUCUCAAAUUGGAAGGUUGCAAGGGACUGAAAUCAAUACCAGAGAUUUCAUCAACUAUAAGGUUCAUAGAUGCCCAUGAUUGCACGGCUUUGGUAUCUGUUUCAAGACCAAGCAAGUUUUUUCCGAAGAAUCUUUACUUGACAUUUUCAAACUGCUUCCAGCUGGUGCAAAAUCUAUUUGAAGAUGUUGUGGAAGCUCAUCAGGUCUCUCUCUCUCUCUCUCUACGUGCAAAAGUAUGAAACAUAUCUAAUGCAAGUCCAGUUUACCUUUGUUUUCAUUCUGCAGGGUAAUCCGCAACCUCUUUCCUUGUUUAUGUAUCUUCCUGGAAGUAAACUUUCAGAUUGGUUCAGCCAUCAGUGUAGCAGAUCUUCCGUAACUGUGCAUCUACCACCAGUCUUGGAUCAUAAGAUUUUAGGAUUCGCUGUGUGCGGUGUUACUAAGUUCAAGUAUGCACAUUAUGCAUCUGAUCUAUCUGCUCUGUGUUUUUGUACCUUCAAAGGAGAGCAUGCAUGGCGAGCGCGGUUUCUGCUUUGAUUUGCUUGAUUUGAGCAUCACAAGAGGCAGGUUACUUGAGUCAGAUUAUGUGAUUCUGGGGCACCAGUUCAGCAGCAUCGCGUCAGAAGGAGUGGAGUUCGUCUCUUUUAUGCCAACUGUGAGGAGGUGCAUAAUCUCUUUUAUGCCAAUUGUGAGAGGAAGCUAAUUGUAAGCCCGUGUGGUCCCUUUUAUCCCAAAUUUGAGGUGGUGCGUUAUUGAAGCAUGAUACAGCCGGAUCAAUUCCACUUUCAAGAACAACACUAUCAUCAUGAGAAUUCUGAAGCCGAACUUCGUGCUUUUGGCAAAUCAAUGGUAAGAGUUGCACAUUCUGAGAGGAACCGUGAAGGGUGUUGCUAUAACGAGGGUGAACAAAAUGGAAGUGAUACCUCUGACGCAGAGGAUUUGUAUUCUAAAAGAUUGGUACUUCCUGAUGGGGCAAAGGAAAACUGAAGAGAACAAUCCCUCUGUGUUGGAUUUGAUGGCUCAGUCCUGUUGGGUCUCAACACUUUCUACGCGGACCUAAAACCAAACUGUUGUGGCUCUUUAGUUGGCAUAUGCGGAUCCCAUGCUAGGUCUCUUUAGUGCUCGUAUUUAAAGCCUCGCAUUGUGUCGAAUUUGGAUGAGACGGUGGGAAAUGUGAAUACAAGCAGCUGCACUAGUGUAAAGGAAAGAGAAGAGCCGACACCCAAUGGAAGAGAGAAGUAAAAUGGGGAGCUGCUGCGUUUAAGGUUCUGUAAGAGUGAAACCAAUUAGCGAUUGUUGUAGUUGUAGAGAAACAAAUAUUUUGUUUGUAAUUCGUUUUUUCCCUCUUCUAUUUGUGAGUGUAUCUGGGUGUAUUUUGGGUUUGAGUUUGAGAGUACUCUUUGUAAUCUCCUUUUCCUUUUGUUUAUUAGUGAAACUUCCUUGCUGUCCCCGAACUGGAUGUAGGUUUACGCCGAACCAGUAUAAAUCUUUGUGUCAUUUUAAUUGUUUGUUUUGUCAUAUUUUUCCGUAUUAGUUUAUUGGUUUCAAGUUAGUGUUUCCCGCACAACACAUUGAACCCCGAGCUUGUUGUAUUUGGAAGUGCCAAUUCAGAUAAUGUGAGUCGUCCAAUUUGACAUUGACAGAGGUUGAGAUGAGCUUGUUGUAAUGUUAAUUCAAAAUUAGAACAAGAGAAAUGGCUCGAUGUGCUGAAAUUGAAAAAUUCAAGGGGUGUGAUAUCCACACAUCCUAUUUUACUUCUCACACAUUCUUUUAAUUUUCGACUGUCGGAUCGGAUGAAUUGAAGAAGAUCAACGGACAGAAAUUAUCAAGGGGUGUGCGAGAAGUAAAAUGAAGUGUGCUAUCAUGAAAACAAGAUUAAUUAGAAUAAUUAAGUUUUUAAUUGCUCAAUUCUGUUCCAUACGAACUUAGAAUAUCACUUUGUAGAGCUGUAAUAACUUUGCAGCCACAAGACAUAAAUACCAAGUACCCUUAAUUGCUCUUCCGGACGUUUCUGGUUCGUGUUGACAUAAACAAUAGAUUUUUUAGUGUGCUUGACAUACGGCUCAGUACACCAAAUUUAAUAAUAAUUGGUUGGAAACUUAAAAAAAAAAAUUAUAAUGAAUUGUAUCAUUAAUUCUUGGUGUACCAAAUAAUUUGCCGGCCGCACGAAAAAACUUCUCGACAUGAAUACAACCCAAAGGCGUCACUAUUAGCUACUACUAAGAAUACAAAGUUUACAUGAAAGAAAAAGGUUAAACUAUCAUUUCACGUUCAACUUAAAUAAUUACACACGAGUUAUCUAGUUACACAAUUGUGUAAGCGUGCUAAAAUGUACGUCACUUUCAAAUUAGGUGGGUUGGAUGGGAACACAAACUCUUAUUAACCACGAUAAAUGGGUCAGCACGAUUAUGCCCAACCCAAACAAACUUAUUUUUUGUCCUUUUCAAGUCGGAUUAUCGAAUCUGUCUAAAAUUGUUACCUCUACUCUUUCUUGGCACACCCAAAUUCAAACAAAAACAAUGAAAGGUACAUCCGAACAAAAAUACAAUAAAAGGUACAUCAUACAACUCUCAUAUUUUUAAUAGAAAACGCGCAUUAUCCUCGUCAUACAUAUGAAAGAUUUCAGAGUAGUACCAUUAAUAAUGUGACAGUAGUUUAGAAGCCAAACGAUGCUAUUAGACAUGACACAUAUGUGAGAAGCUGACACUUACCUCGAGGAUAUUUCCAAUCACUCUAACUCAUUUUUCAUAUGAAUAGCGAGAUCGGAAUAUAUUUCCGAUUUACAAAGAAGUUAUUGGGUUGGGUAUGCAGAUGAAGAUUCAACAUAGUUGAACGAUAUCGCGUAGUGUAGAAUAUCAUUUUUUUGUUUGUUUGGUUACACUAGGUGUAUUUGCCUUUUUAUUUCAAUAAAAUUUCACCUCGCACAAUCGAGGGUUCUUUAACAAAAAGGAAAAGUAUAGAUGGUAUAGAAUAUCAUUUAUACUAAAAAAAACAUAUUCAUACAAAUUAUACUCAUGAGAUUUGCAGUUGGCGCUUUACUACAGUGACGAAAAAUAAUAAUGCAUAUACACUUUGAUGCCAAUUCGAUCCUUAUGGAUUUGUUGUGAAUUCAAUCCUUACAGAUUUUCCUCUUCUUUAAUAACUAAUUACCUAAACCACCAACGUUGCUCUACCGUAAAAAUUAAUAAUAAAUAAAAGGAAAGGGUCAUUUAAGAUUUGCUGAGUUUCAAAACCAGAUUAGUGUACUUUACGUAAUGAUCUAAUUUGCAUUGGCUCAUUGACUUCGUGUCGGUCAGACCAUUUUCCGGUGAUCCAAUUGUAGUUCAGUUGAGUUAGCAGCUCAAUCAUAAGCGAAUCGUCGAGGCUUUCGAUCGUGGUUUUCUCCCAGAACUACGCUUAUUCGACGGGGUGCUUGAAAGAACUGGUCAAAAUCCUGGCGUGCAUGGACGCAAAGAAGCAGACAGUGGUGCCGAUUUUCUACCAAGUUGAUCCAUCUGAAGUUCGUAAGCUCAAGAUAAGUUUUGCAGAAGCUUUUUCCUCAAAACGAACGCGAAUCGAAUGCCGAAAUGAAAGAGGUGGAGAGCUGGAGGUCCGCGCUAACCAGAGCCGCCAAUUUAUCCGCUGGGAUUCGCGAAAAUACGAGUAAUUUGGAUCAAUACCGCCAUGAGCAGCUUAUGCUGCUGAAUUCAAAUCACGAUGGCUUCACCCAUACAAACUAAACUCAUGAAAUGGGAUUUUCUUUUGACGGAAAAAAAAAAAAUAAUAAUAAUAAUGUUUGCGGGCCGUGGGCCUAUUUGGACUCAUUCUGAUGGGCCUUUUAAAAAUUUAAAACCGGGCUAGUCCAAUUCGUAUUUGAAUUUUCCAAUACGUUGAAGAAUUAUUUUAGGAUAGUGUUAUCCAGAUACUUAUCUUUUUCUUUCACACAUUUUUUUAUUUAUUUUUGGCAGUCGAAUCAAAUAAUUUGAAGAAGAUCAAAUGAAAAAAUUAAUAAGAAUAUGUGAGAGGGAAAAAAAUAUGUGUGAAUAGAUCUACCCUUAUUUUAUUACUAGCCUUUUUCUUUUGCAUUUGGUUUUUUUUUUGGAUACUUUAUUGUUUUUUUUUUAAAUUGGCUUAAUUUUAUAUUUAGAAUAAAUUCAACAUAAAAAGUCAUUAACUUCUCAGUAAGAAGCGGUUAUUUCUUUUCAAUUUUUUAAUUACUACACUUUUAUUUAAAAUUUACUAGAAUAUAGCCAUGCACAAAGGGUGUGUGAAUAUUUUUUUUGUUUUUAAAAUUAAAGGAGAGCAUAAGAGAGCAAAAGAGUGAGAGAGAAUGUGAGAGUGGGAAGGGAGGAUUAUUAUUAUUUUUUUUAAAUUAAAGGCGCCGGCAUCCCACGUGUCGCGAGUACACCAGUAAUCGUCUUCCUCGCGAAGGUCAUAAUUUUGCUUAUUUUCAUCCUAACUUCCAAGGCUAAUUUCUAACUCAAUACUUAAACCAAAUUCAAUGAUUCAAAAGCCAACUAGAAACUAGGAAUGUGGGGAAAAGGUUUAUACUACUUCGGGGUCCAAUCGUGGCCUGAGUUGAACGGGGAAACGACCUAAAAGUGGCCCGAUGGUCACGGCCAAACUUUCCAGAAUUUUGGAAAUUUCUUCCCAACUUUCAUAGCUAGUUUCUAAUUCAAUUCUUAACCAAACUUGAUGAUUGAAAAUCCAUAAUGAAGUUAGAAAUCUAGAGAAGAGAGUCAUACCCUUAGGAGGCCCAACGAAGAUCAUAAUUGGCCGGCAAAUUGGUCUGAAAAUGGUCAAAUGGCCACGAGUCUUGUUUUCUAGAAAUCUGGGAAAUUUUUCCUAGGUUGCUUCCAAAUUACGGUGGUGCUAUGGCGAAGCUCACCAAAGAGAGUUGGAGAUGAGAAAGUUAUGGUGGUGCUAUGGCGAAGCUCGCCAAAGAAGGCAGUAGGUGGUGACGUUUUUUGUUGAACUGGCAGAGAGAGAGAGUUGACAGAGAUGAGAGAGAAGACACGAGAAAGUUCUCGAGGGAGAGAUCACAAAGGGGAAAAGAAAAGGGCACCAGAAAUAAGGUGCCACGUGUCAGUCAUGUGGUGUCCAAAGUGGAGAAAUAUCUCCAUUUGUGAACUUACCAAAAUACCCUUACAUUUGAAUUCCACAAUAUCCCCGUUGUUGCUCCAAAUUCAAAUCCGCUUAUGCCCACGCGUUCGUAUCGUCGAGUACUACCCAAUUACGCUAAAAAAAAAUCAUACGUUUCUCUAGACGAUGAUUAACUGAAAUCAAAGUCCUGGCCUCUAGGGGCAUUUUCUUCGAUUCCCUCGAUUAAAAUAAAUAAAAACAUAAUUUCAAGGAUGGGUUGUCACACCUAUCUUUCUGGUUGCUCAAUGCUUGAGAAGUUUCCAAAUUGUUCAGAAGUUAUGGAGAAGGUAUCAGGGCUUUAUUUAGAUAGGAAUGCAAUUAAAGAAUUGCCUUCGUCAAUUAAUAUACUCAUAGGCCUUACUGUUUUGGAUCUAAGAGGCUGUCGAGAACUCAAGAUCCUGUCGAGCAGCAUUCAUAUGAGAUCUUUUCAAACCCUUAAUAUUUUUGGUUGCUCAAUGCUUGAGAAGUUUCCAGAUAUUUCAGAUGUUAUAGAGAAGCUAUCAGAGCUUCAUUUAUAUAAGAUUGCAAUUAAAGAACUGCCUUCGUCAAUUAAUAAACUCACAUGCCUUACUAUAUUGGACCUAAGAGGCUGUUGAGAACUCAAGAGCCUACCGAGUAACAUUCAUAUGGGAUUUCUUCAAACCCUUAAUCUUUCUGGUUGCUCAAACCUUGAGAAGUUUCCUGAUAUUUUAGAUGUUACAGAGAAGCUAUCAAAUCUUUAUUUAGUUGGGACUGCAAUUAAAGAACUGCCUUCGUCAAUUAAUAUACUCACGGGCGUUACUGUUUUGGAUCUAAGAGGCCGUCGAGAACUCAAGAGCCUACUGAGCAGUAUUUAUAUGAUCUCUUCAAACCCUUAAUCUUUCUGGUUGCUCAAUGCUUGAGAAGUUUCCAAAUAUUUCAAAUGUUAUGGAGAAGCUAUCAGAGCUUGAUUCAGAUGAGACUGCAAUUAAAGAACUGCAUUUGUCAAUUAAUAAACUCACAGGCCUUACUAUUUUGGACCUAAGAGGCUGUUGAGAACUCAAGAGCCUGCCGAGCAACAUUCAUAUGGGAUAUCUUCAAACGCUUAAUCUUUCUGGUUGCUCAAACCUUGAGAAGUUUCCAGAUAUUUCAG